GGGGAUGUAGCUCAAUGGGAGAGCAUUCGCCUAACAUGCAUAAAGCCCUGGAUUCAAUCCUUAGUAUCACUA
This 72-nucleotide transfer RNA is filed under the name Ictidomys tridecemlineatus (thirteen-lined ground squirrel). RNAcentral's name for it is "Spermophilus tridecemlineatus (thirteen-lined ground squirrel) tRNA". It matches the Rfam family "tRNA". Rfam says of the family: Transfer RNA (tRNA) molecules are approximately 80 nucleotides in length. The record is from Rfam by way of RNAcentral. Lineage: Eukaryota; Metazoa; Chordata; Mammalia; Rodentia; Sciuridae.